CUACCUAUUUCCUAAUCUGAAAUGAUUAUGCUCUGAUUAACUUUGAACUAAUAUUUUAUUUUUACCAUUUAAAAGUCUGUUAAUUACUUAACCUGGCCCAUGUAUGACUUUACAUAUCUGUGUAUUGGUUUCAUGUUCCUCUAGAAGGUCCAACUUGACACACAACUUGAAUCCAACCAGACUGAACACUGACUCCAGGGACAGACGAGCCUGAAGGACACAGCUGUGAUGACCAUGUUCUGUCUCUUAUGGCAAAGCAGAAAUAUAAAACACUGGGUUCUUAUCUAAAGUGUAUCAAAUCAGAUCUCCACCAUGUUGCUGCUGAGGACAUCAGUUGUCUUCCAGUUGACCAGCAUGAAGCUGCAGAUCUCCACCAUGUUGCUGCUGGGGACAUCAGGAGCUGCAUUAAUGAGGAGCAGAAGCGUACUGUUAUGAAUGUUUUGUGUUGUUUAUGAAGCACUACUUAUUUCAGCUAGAACCGAUGUACUAGGGUCUGGGUUUGUAUCCUAAUGGUUAAAUGCACAUACUUUAAAUCGCUUUUGAUAAAACGUGACAAAGAAAUACAACAUUGUACACAUAGAUAAAAUGUCUUUCUACCUCAUCUGUAAUAUUCAAGGUGAUGAUCUCCCACAGAGCUGUUGAUAACAGUCCACAUCAAGUCUCUCCACUUCCCUCAGUGUGAAAACAUAAUUA
Long non-coding RNA from Platichthys flesus (European flounder), 693 nucleotides. RefSeq lists it as uncharacterized. The record is from RefSeq and is a predicted model, not a curated record. The transcript is spliced from 3 exons. Lineage: Eukaryota; Metazoa; Chordata; Actinopteri; Pleuronectiformes; Pleuronectidae.